Molecule: ribosomal RNA, 253 nt
Filed under: uncultured bacterium
Lineage: Bacteria
Description: partial 16S ribosomal RNA
Rfam family: Bacterial small subunit ribosomal RNA
Source: RNAcentral
UACAGAGGUCUCGAGCGUUAGGCGGAAUCACUGGGCUUAAAGCGUGUGUAGGUGGAUCGUUAAGUACCUUGUGAAAUCCCACGGCUUAACCGUGGAACUGCUUGGUAUACUGGCGGUCUUGAGUCAGCUAGGGGCUACCGGAACAAAUGGUGGAGCGGUGAAAUGCGUAGAUCUACGAAGGAACGCCAAAAGCGAAGGCAGCUCUCUGGGUCCCUACCGACGCUGGGGUGCGAAAGCAUGGGGAGCGAACAGG